UGUCAUACGAUACCAUUUUUUGACCACUUAGUUGAUGCCUCUGAAAGGAAGAGAGAAUCAGAUCGCUAAAAUUUGAUGUGUCGUCAGUGUGGAUCCUACUCAGUAGUGUCACAACGAGGCUGAAAAUCAUAUUAAGUGCUUUUAGGACAGAAACGUAAACUGCUCAGGUAAAAUAACCUUAUAAAGAGAAAUAAGCAUAUAUUGCAGAGGCCUUGGCUAGGUUCAUGAUGACACAGGACCUUGUCUGAACAUAAUGAUUUCAAAAUUUGAGCUUAAAAAUGACACUCUGAAAUCCAGUCAGUGUGCCUCACUAGACUUUUCGAUUUCAAGAUUUUCUGCAGAAAAUGUUUUGAAAACUUUGAAUACUUAAAAAUGGCAGGUGUAGUAUUGCACUUUGCUAGUUGCUCAGAUACCCUUUUUUAUUUGUAUAGAUAUUCUGAGUUCCUUUUUUUUUCUACAUGUUGUACGUUGUCGAAAGCUAAAAGGAAACUUAUCCUUGGAUCACGGAAGGCAGAGGCAUUUGGUGAGAUGGAAACAAGGAUGUGUAAAAAUGAGACGACCACCUCUCGGAUUAAAAAAAAAAAGUGCCAGAGUUCUAGGGUUCUAAGUGAUGUCCAGGAAGGAGGAGGAAUAAUAUUUAUGGAGCAUAUAUUAUGGAACACACCAUUAUGAAUGGUUUUUGAUUGAUCUCACAAAGAGCAUGUGCUUUAGACAUUAAUGCAGCGACUACCAUGAAACAGAGUAUUGGAUUACCUAAGGAAAGAAGCAGAGGAUGGAAUUUGAGGCAAUCAGGAUGAGUGAAAAAUUGAUUUGCAGCUGACCUGCAAAUGGAAUCAUCAGGAACAUCCCUUUCUCAUGGAGUCCCUUAAUUUACAAGUUAACUGCAAACAUAGGAGAUGAUAGUUCCAAGAAGGAACAUUUUAUCGUCUUUGUUUUUAAUCUCAAGAAUGGUACCUACCAUCAGUGAAUGACCUGUUGCAGUGCUUUCAUUGAAGUGUUCUUCGUUCCCUCAGCAAUAUGAUUGUGAUGACUGAAAAAGGGAAACUGUGCCACUAUUUGUACCAUCAUUUUCACCAAAAUCUAAAAAUGCUUUUUAUGACGUAUGGAGACAUUCUUCAUGUUUGUUUCAGUGGACACUCCUUGCAGAUGUAAAAAACUGAGAAAACUCACUUUUGGAAAGUGACCUAAAGAGUGUCAUUGAAGUGAAUUUUAAGUAGGCACGAUGAUUGUUUUCAUGGUUGCUGUUGGAUCAUAUCUCAGGAGCUGGAAUGACAGACAUUAUUGAACAAAGAAAUCAGGAUAGUGGAACUUAAAGGGCUUCAUCUCAGUGCUUUCAUAAGUAUGAAGUGCAUAUAUUUAUAAUUUUCACUAAUCACAGGAAUAUUCCCUCUGUAUACUUGCAUUUUUUUCUAUCAAUUGACGCUUACAAUUAUUUUUGCAAGUUGGAAAAAAAUGCAGUAUUAAUUUCAUUUGCAACAAAUUUAAUAGAUUAAUUAGGAGAGAAUAGAUAUCUUUAAAAUUGAGUCUUCUGUCCAACUGCAAGUUAUAGCUGAGGUGGUACCAGUUUAAGAAGUGAGAACUUCUUCACUGACUGAAAUUUGCAUAUCAAUCCAAAUCAUUGUGCUUAUUUACUAUUUUUGUAGACGUCAUUCUUCAAAAGUGCUGCAUCUUCAAUAGUCAAGGAGGACAAAGACAUCUUUCCUGCAGGUGGUGACCAUGUGGAUAAUAGGAUCAUAGACAAAUGGUGGUUCCAUCUACAGCAUCACCGAAAUGCUGUUGUUACUGCUUCUUUCUGGGAUCUUCUUGCAUCUUUGCUUCUAAAGGGGCACACCUUUUAUAGAAGUACGUCCAGGAAUAGAAGUGACCUGCUUUUUCGCAAGUAAUUGCCUGGAAUGUUUUUAUGUACUUCUCUGCACUCUCAAUACAUUUCAUGCUUCCCUCUAUUUUUGUAUAUUAACUCAUUGUAUUUCUUAAAUUUAUAUUUUACUUUAUGAAUGGAAGUGAGAUUUGUGUAUGGUAAAUAUAAUUAAUUCAACCCCAUGGAUACGUUAGUCACUGUCCAGAUGAUGGCAAGUCUUUCUCAGAAGCAGAGGGCCUUGGUGUGCCAGUGAUUUUUUUUCCCCAUGUGUAAGAUACUUUUUUUCCUCAUUUGAAUCAGGAGCCCACAGUUUUUAGACAAGUCCCAAAUGAAAUCUUAAGCAUUUGUGUUAUCUGGACUAGACCUUCUGUAGUAUCCUUUUUGUUAGACCUAGUAUAUCUCAUUGCAGAUCAGGAUCUGAGAUUGACUAUAGUUCACCUCUUUCCAAGUACACAAACUUGGAUGACAUGACAACUGAGUGUGUAAGGGAGAGCGAGACCCUUGCACUGCCAUUUGAGCCCUUGUGAUCUCAUCUUGUAGAACAUGUUGUACAAUCAUUUUAUUGGUAUCAUUAGUGUUAUUUGGGGCUGGAAUAAAAAUCUCAGUGCACC
RNAcentral lists this long non-coding RNA (2469 nucleotides) under Homo sapiens (human). RNAcentral describes it as "non-protein coding lnc-SNRPN-8:91". The stretch from base 220 to 294 matches the Rfam family "Small nucleolar RNA SNORD107". Lineage: Eukaryota; Metazoa; Chordata; Mammalia; Primates; Hominidae. The record is from RNAcentral.